This is a long non-coding RNA of Carcharodon carcharias (great white shark), 392 nucleotides long. RefSeq lists it as uncharacterized. The transcript has 3 exons. Lineage: Eukaryota; Metazoa; Chordata; Chondrichthyes; Lamniformes; Lamnidae. The record is from RefSeq and is a predicted model, not a curated record.
CACAAUGAAGAGAGGUGGCCUGGCCCUGGAAGCUGCUGUCUGUGCAACAGUACUAACACUCCUAAAAACGAGAAGGCCGGCAGGAGGAAAUCUUAAAUCACACACCAUUACAAGAUGAUACUGCACAAGAGUGCGGUGAGGUGGCUUACCCUGCAUGCAGGUCACCAAAUGGUAAACUCCAAUCUUAACACGCAAUCCAGAAUAGAAUCAGAGCCGAGCCAUUUCUCAAGAUGAAGGAAAAAAAGGUCUCUUUGUCUUAGCUGUAUCACCAACUAUGCUAUGUUGAAGGACUCUCCAAUAGCAACUCAAUGAAUCAGAAUGGCAGCCUAAAGAUUACAGUACUGGACCAGCAACCCAGAAGUUAACGGUAGAAAUCCUACAUGGCAAGUUCU